UACGUAGGUGACCAGCGUUGUCCGGAUUUACUGGGCGUAAAGCGCGUGUAGGCGGCUCUGCAAGUCGGAUGUGAAAGCCCUGGGCUCAACCCAGGAAGUGCACUCGAAACUGCCAAGCUUGAGUCUCGGAGAGGAUGGCGGAAUUCUCGGUGUAGAGGUGAAAUUCGUAGAUAUCGAGAGGAACACCGGUGGCGAAGGCGGCUAUCUGGACGAUGACCGACGCUGAGACGCGAAAGCGUGGGGAGCAAACAGG
RNAcentral lists this ribosomal RNA (253 nucleotides) under uncultured bacterium. RNAcentral's name for it is "partial 16S ribosomal RNA". It matches the Rfam family "Bacterial small subunit ribosomal RNA", at positions 524 to 776 of the family's 1533-position model. The record is from RNAcentral.